Rattus norvegicus (Norway rat) is the source of this 483-nucleotide long non-coding RNA. RefSeq lists it as uncharacterized. NCBI's taxonomy places the organism in Eukaryota, Metazoa, Chordata, Mammalia, Rodentia, Muridae. The record is from RefSeq and is a predicted model, not a curated record.
UGUACAAAGCAAGGCCACGCGGUCUAGUUGCCCUGCGACACCAACGUCCCUGGAAAGGAGAAAGAAUGGCGAAUCCACAGAAAACUAGAACACUCUUUAAACUUAGCCUCUCUCCUCGCCUUUCGGAGGCAUUUCCCCUCAGCUUAUAGGAUGCUGAAGGAGCAUGCUAGCUGCCAGAGUGACUAGUGAGACAUGCUAAUGCUGAAGCAAAAAACAAUGCUAUGAUGGUUUGUAUAUGCUGGGUCCAGGGAGUGGCACUAGUAGGAUGUGUAGCCUUGUUGGAGUAGGUGUGUCACUUUGAGCGUGGGCUUAAGACCUUCACCCUGGCUUCCUGGAAGUAAGUCUACCACCAGCAGCCUUCAGAUGAAGAUGUAGAACUCCAGCACCAUGCCUACCUGGACUUUCCCAUGCUCCCGCCUUGAUGAUGAUACUGAACCUUUGAACCUGUAAGCCAGCCCCAAUUAAAUGUUGUCCUUUAUAAAA